GACCUCAAAUCAGGUAAGAAUACCCGCUGAACUUAAGCAUAUCAAUAAGCGGAGGAAAAGAAAAUAACAAUGAUUCCCUCAGUAACGGCGAGCGAAGAGGGAUAAGCUCAAAUUUUAAAUCUGCUGGGUUUCACCUAACAGAGUUGUAUUUUGAAGAAACGUUUUCUGCGUCCCGGGUUAGCCUAAGUCCUUUGGGAUAAGGUAUCAUGGAGGGUGAGAAUCCCGUUCAUGGUUAAUCUUAAGGAUGCUCUACGAUACGUUUUCCAAGAGUCGAGUUGUUUGGGAUUGCAGCUCAAAAUGGGAGGUAAAUUUCUCCUAAGGCUAAAUAUUGGCGAGAGACCGAUAGCGAACAAGUACCGUGAGGGAAAGAUGAAAAGAACUUUGAAAAGAGAGUUAAACAGUACGUGAAAUUGUUGAAAGGGAAACGAUUGAAGUCAGUCAUACCAACGGGAAAUCAACCUUUUGAACUUUGUCUCGUGGGUUCGAAGAGUUUAAACGCCUUCGGGUUCGCGAGAUUGGGAUCUUCUGGUGUACUUUCUCGUACGGUUAGUCAACAUCGGUUUUGAAUGUCAUAAAAUGACUGGAGGAAUGUGGCUUCGAUCUCGUAUCGAAGUGUUAUAGCCUUUGGUAGAUGUGAUGUUUGAGACCGAGGAUUGCAACGGAUACCCUUUAAGGGCUAUUCGUCUGAUCUCUGAUACGUUGCCUUGACGUUGAAAGCUUGCUUAUGAUGUUAGGGUAUUACGGUCAAAAGGUUAGAACGGAUUAAAUUCGUUAAGGAUGUUGACGUAAUGACUUUAAACGACCCGUCUUGAAACACGGACCA
RNAcentral lists this ribosomal RNA (823 nucleotides) under Glomus sp. MUCL 46239. Its description in RNAcentral is "eukaryotic LSU rRNA". It matches the Rfam family "Eukaryotic large subunit ribosomal RNA", at positions 1 to 668 of the family's 3401-position model. Lineage: Eukaryota; Fungi; Glomeromycota; Glomeromycetes; Glomerales; Glomeraceae. The record is from RNAcentral.